RNAcentral lists this ribosomal RNA (2440 nucleotides) under Salmonella enterica subsp. enterica serovar Typhimurium str. DT104. Its description in RNAcentral is "bacterial LSU rRNA". It matches the Rfam family "Bacterial large subunit ribosomal RNA", at positions 591 to 2925 of the family's 2925-position model. Lineage: Bacteria; Pseudomonadati; Pseudomonadota; Gammaproteobacteria; Enterobacterales; Enterobacteriaceae. The record is from RNAcentral.
GUGUGACUGCGUACCUUUUGUAUAAUGGGUCAGCGACUUAUAUUCUGUAGCAAGGUUAACCGUAUAGGGGAGCCGUAGGGAAACCGAGUCUUAAUUGGGCGUUAAGUUGCAGGGUAUAGACCCGAAACCCGGUGAUCUAGCCAUGGGCAGGUUGAAGGUUGGGUAACACUAACUGGAGGACCGAACCGACUAAUGUUGAAAAAUUAGCGGAUGACCUGUGGCUGGGGGUGAAAGGCCAAUCAAACCGGGAGAUAGCUGGUUCUCCCCGAAAGCUAUUUAGGUAGCGCCUCGUGAAUUCAUCUCCGGGGGUAGAGCACUGUUUCGGCUAGGGGGCCAUCCCGGCUUACCAACCCGAUGCAAACUGCGAAUACCGGAGAAUGUUAUCACGGGAGACACACGGCGGGUGCUAACGUCCGUCGUGAAGAGGGAAACAACCCAGACCGCCAGCUAAGGUCCCAAAGUCAUGGUUAAGUGGGAAACGAUGUGGGAAGGCCCAGACAGCCAGGAUGUUGGCUUAGAAGCAGCCAUCAUUUAAAGAAAGCGUAAUAGCUCACUGGUCGAGUCGGCCUGCGCGGAAGAUGUAACGGGGCUAAACCAUGCACCGAAGCUGCGGCAGCGAACGUAUCACCCAAGACAACUUUACGGAGUUGACGAUUGACGGAGCGAAGCGACGUCAAAGCGUUCAUUAAAGUCGAGUUGGCUUAGGGAUACGUUCGUUGGGUAGGGGAGCGUUCUGUAAGCCUGUGAAGGUGUGUCGUGAGGCAUGCUGGAGGUAUCAGAAGUGCGAAUGCUGACAUAAGUAACGAUAAAGCGGGUGAAAAGCCCGCUCGCCGGAAGACCAAGGGUUCCUGUCCAACGUUAAUCGGGGCAGGGUGAGUCGACCCCUAAGGCGAGGCCGAAAGGCGUAGUCGAUGGGAAACGGGUUAAUAUUCCCGUACUUGGUGUUACUGCGAAGGGGGGACGGAGAAGGCUAUGUUGGCCGGGCGACGGUUGUCCCGGUUUAAGCGUGUAGGUGUGUGUUCCAGGUAAAUCCGGUUCACUUUAACACUGAGGCGUGACGACGAGGCACUACGGUGCUGAAGCAACAAAUGCCCUGCUUCCAGGAAAAGCCUCUAAGCAUCAGGUAACACGAAAUCGUACCCCAAACCGACACAGGUGGUCAGGUAGAGAAUACCAAGGCGCUUGAGAGAACUCGGGUGAAGGAACUAGGCAAAAUGGUGCCGUAACUUCGGGAGAAGGCACGCUGACACGUAGGUGAAGUGAUUUACUCAUGGAGCUGAAGUCAGUCGAAGAUACCAGCUGGCUGCAACUGUUUAUUAAAAACACAGCACUGUGCAAACACGAAAGUGGACGUAUACGGUGUGACGCCUGCCCGGUGCCGGAAGGUUAAUUGAUGGGGUCAGCGCAAGCGAAGCUCCUGAUCGAAGCCCCGGUAAACGGCGGCCGUAACUAUAACGGUCCUAAGGUAGCGAAAUUCCUUGUCGGGUAAGUUCCGACCUGCACGAAUGGCGUAAUGAUGGCCAGGCUGUCUCCACCCGAGACUCAGUGAAAUUGAACUCGCUGUGAAGAUGCAGUGUACCCGCGGCAAGACGGAAAGACCCCGUGAACCUUUACUAUAGCUUGACACUGAACAUUGAGCCUUGAUGUGUAGGAUAGGUGGGAGGCUUUGAAGUGUGGACGCCAGUCUGCAUGGAGCCGACCUUGAAAUACCACCCUUUAAUGUUUGAUGUUCUAACGUGGACCCGUAAUCCGGGUUGCGGACAGUGUCUGGUGGGUAGUUUGACUGGGGCGGUCUCCUCCUAAAGAGUAACGGAGGAGCACGAAGGUUGGCUAAUCCUGGUCGGACAUCAGGAGGUUAGUGCAAUGGCAUAAGCCAGCUUGACUGCGAGCGUGACGGCGCGAGCAGGUGCGAAAGCAGGUCAUAGUGAUCCGGUGGUUCUGAAUGGAAGGGCCAUCGCUCAACGGAUAAAAGGUACUCCGGGGAUAACAGGCUGAUACCGCCCAAGAGUUCAUAUCGACGGCGGUGUUUGGCACCUCGAUGUCGGCUCAUCACAUCCUGGGGCUGAAGUAGGUCCCAAGGGUAUGGCUGUUCGCCAUUUAAAGUGGUACGCGAGCUGGGUUUAGAACGUCGUGAGACAGUUCGGUCCCUAUCUGCCGUGGGCGCUGGAGAACUGAGGGGGGCUGCUCCUAGUACGAGAGGACCGGAGUGGACGCAUCACUGGUGUUCGGGUUGUCAUGCCAAUGGCACUGCCCGGUAGCUAAAUGCGGAAGAGAUAAGUGCUGAAAGCAUCUAAGCACGAAACUUGCCCCGAGAUGAGUUCUCCCUGAGACUUAGAGUCUCCUGAAGGAACGUUGAAGACGACGACGUUGAUAGGCCGGGUGUGUAAGCGCAGCGAUGCGUUGAGCUAACCGGUACUAAUGAACCGUGAGGCUUAACCUU